This 315-nucleotide unclassified non-coding RNA is filed under the name fungal sp. RNAcentral's name for it is "partial internal transcribed spacer region". The stretch from base 1 to 46 matches the Rfam family "Eukaryotic small subunit ribosomal RNA", at positions 1786 to 1831 of the family's 1831-position model. The record is from RNAcentral. Lineage: Eukaryota; Fungi.
AAGUCGUAACAAGGUUUCCGUAGGUGAACCUGCGGAAGGAUCAUUAAUACAAAGUGUGGUUUUUUCACAAAACUACAUAAACCCAAAAUGUCGAACUGUAUCGGAAACGUUGGGGUUUUUUUGGCUAAGUUUCCCUGACGUUUCUUUGUUUUUAUUCAAAAUUUAGCUAUUUUCUUUAACCCAAUUUCACCACGAUAUUCAUUUGUAUGAACUUAAAUGUUUUUUGAUCCGAAAGGAUUGAAAAAAAUCAUACGAAACUUAAGAACAACUCUUAACAACGGAUAUCUUGGCUCUCUUACCGAUGAAGAACGCAGC